CCUACGGGAGGCAGCAGUGAGGAAUAUUGGUCAAUGGACGAGAGUCUGAACCAGCCAAGCAGCGUGAAGGAUGACUGUCCUAUGGGUUGUAAACUUCUUUUAUAAAGGAAUAAAACGAGGCACGCGUGCCUUUUUGCAUGUACUUUAUGAAUAAGGAUCGGCUAACUCCGUGCCAGCAGCCGCGGUAAUACGGAGGAUCCGAGCGUUAUCCGGAUUUAUUGGGUUUAAAGGGAGCGUAGAUGGGUUGUUAAGUCAGAUGUGAAAGUUUGCGGGUCAACCGUGAAAUUGCAUUUGAUACUGGCAGUCUUGAGUGAAGUUGAGGUAGGCGGAAUGCGUGGUGUAGCGGUGAAAUGCUUAGAUAUCACGAAGAACCCCGAUUGCGAAGGCAGCUUAC
This 394-nucleotide ribosomal RNA is filed under the name uncultured bacterium. RNAcentral's name for it is "partial 16S ribosomal RNA". It matches the Rfam family "Bacterial small subunit ribosomal RNA", at positions 338 to 729 of the family's 1533-position model. The record is from RNAcentral.